This 459-nucleotide ribosomal RNA is filed under the name uncultured bacterium. RNAcentral's name for it is "partial 16S ribosomal RNA". It matches the Rfam family "Bacterial small subunit ribosomal RNA", at positions 338 to 795 of the family's 1533-position model. The record is from RNAcentral.
CCUACGGGGUGCAGCAGUGAGGAAUAUUGGUCAAUGGACGCAAGUCUGAACCAGCCAUGCCGCGUGCAGGAAGACGGCUCUAUGAGUUGUAAACUGCUUUUGUACGAGGGUAAACGCAGAUACGCGUAUCUGUCUGAAAGUAUCGUACGAAUAAGGAUCGGCUAACUCCGUGCCAGCAGCCGCGGUAAUACGGAGGAUUCAAGCGUUAUCCGGAUUUAUUGGGUUUAAAGGGUGCGUAGGCGGUCGGAUAAGUUAGAGGUGAAAUCCCGAGGCUCAACUUCGGAAUUGCCUCUGAUACUGUUCGGCGAGAGAGUAGUUGCGGUAGGCGGAAUGUAUGGUGUAGCGGUGAAAUGCUUAGAGAUCAUACAGAACACCGAUUGCGAAGGCAGCUUACCAAGCUACUUCUGACGUUGAGGCACGAAAGCGUGGGGAGCAAACAGGAUUAGAUACCCGUGAGUC